Molecule: ribosomal RNA, 429 nt
Filed under: Gemmatimonadota bacterium
Lineage: Bacteria; Pseudomonadati; Gemmatimonadota
Description: Gemmatimonadetes bacterium partial 16S ribosomal RNA
Rfam family: Bacterial small subunit ribosomal RNA
Source: RNAcentral
UAGGGAAUCUUCGGCAAUGGACGAAAGUCUGACCGAGCAACGCCGCGUGAGUGAAGAAGGUUUUCGGAUCGUAAAACUCUGUUGUUAGAGAAGAACAAGGACGUUAGUAACUGAACGUCCCCUGACGGUAUCUAACCAGAAAGCCACGGCUAACUACGUGCCAGCAGCCGCGGUAAUACGUAGGUGGCAAGCGUUGUCCGGAUUUAUUGGGCGUAAAGCGAGCGCAGGCGGUUUCUUAAGUCUGAUGUGAAAGCCCCCGGCUCAACCGGGGAGGGUCAUUGGAAACUGGGAGACUUGAGUGCAGAAGAGGGGAGUGGAAUUCCAUGUGUGGCGGUGAAAUGCGUAGAUAUAUGGGGGAACACCAGUGGCGAAGGCGGCUCUCUGGUCUGUAACUGACGCUGAGGCUCGAAAGCGUGGGGAGCAAACAGG